RNAcentral lists this ribosomal RNA (253 nucleotides) under uncultured bacterium. Its description in RNAcentral is "partial 16S ribosomal RNA". It matches the Rfam family "Bacterial small subunit ribosomal RNA", at positions 524 to 776 of the family's 1533-position model. The record is from RNAcentral.
UACGUAGGGUGCGAGCGUUAAUCGGAAUUACUGGGCGUAAAGCGUGCGCAGGCGGCUCUUUAAGCUUGCUGUGAAAGCCCCGGGCUUAACCUGGGAACUGCAGUGAGGACUGGAUGGCUGGAGUGUGGCAGAGGGGGGUGGAAUUCCACGUGUAGCAAUGAAAUGCGUAGAGAUGUGGAGGAACACCGAUGGCGAAGGCAGCCCCCUGGGCUAACACUGACGCUCAGGCACGAAAGCGUGGGGAGCAAACAGG